UACGGGAGGCAGCAGUGGGGAAUAUUGCACAAUGGGCGCAAGCCUGAUGCAGCCAUGCCGCGUGUAUGAAGAAGGCCUUCGGGUUGUAAAGUACUUUCAGUCGUGAGGAAGGUGUUAAGGUUAAUAACCUUAGCAAUUGACGUUAGCGACAGAAGAAGCACCGGCUAACUCCGUGCCAGCAGCCGCGGUAAUACGGAGGGUGCGAGCGUUAAUCGGAAUUACUGGGCGUAAAGGGCACGCAGGCGGUUAAUUAAGUUGGAUGUGAAAUCCCCGGGCUUAACCUGGGAAUGGCAUUCAAGACUGGUUAGCUAGAGUCUUGUAGAGGGGGUAGAAUUCCAUGUGUAGCGGUGAAAUGUGUAGAGAUGUGGAGGAAUACCGGUGGCGAAGGCGGCCCCUGGACAAAGACUGACGCUCAUGUGCGAAAGCGUGGGGAGCGAAACAGGAUUAGAUACC
RNAcentral lists this ribosomal RNA (453 nucleotides) under uncultured bacterium. RNAcentral's name for it is "bacterial SSU rRNA". It matches the Rfam family "Bacterial small subunit ribosomal RNA", at positions 340 to 786 of the family's 1533-position model. The record is from RNAcentral.